GACGAACGCUGGCGGCGUGCUUAACACAUGCAAGUCGAACGGAAAGGCCCUGCUUUUGUGGGGUGCUCGAGUGGCGAACGGGUGAGUAACACGUGAGUAACCUGCCCUUGACUUUGGGAUAACUUCAGGAAACUGGGGCUAAUACCGGAUAGGAGCUCCUGCUGCAUGGUGGGGGUUGGAAAGUUUCGGCGGUUGGGGAUGGACUCGCGGCUUAUCAGCCUGUUGGUGGGGUAGUGGCUUACCAAGGCUUUGACGGGUAGCCGGCCUGAGAGGGUGACCGGCCAAAUGGGGAAGGAGAAACGGCCCAGACUCCUAGGGGGGGAAGGAGGGGGGAAUAGUGCAAAAGGGGCGGAAGGCUGAUGCAGCAACCCCGGGGGGGGGAAGAGGGCCUUGGGGUUGUAAACCGCUUUCGCAUGGGACGAAGGGUGGGGGAGGGGAAGGGGUAAAGAAGCACCGGCUAAAUACGU
RNAcentral lists this ribosomal RNA (467 nucleotides) under uncultured bacterium. RNAcentral describes it as "partial 16S ribosomal RNA". It matches the Rfam family "Bacterial small subunit ribosomal RNA", at positions 28 to 506 of the family's 1533-position model. The record is from RNAcentral.